Molecule: transfer RNA, 73 nt
Filed under: Calothrix sp. FACHB-1219
Lineage: Bacteria; Bacillati; Cyanobacteriota; Cyanophyceae; Nostocales; Calotrichaceae
Also listed under: 1 other name
Description: tRNA-Ile
Source: RNAcentral
GGACGGUUAACUAUCUGGAGAUAGUAGCGGCCUCAUAAGCCGCCAUAGGUGAGUUCGAUCCUCACACCGUCUA